AAUGGGGGAAACCCUGACGCAGCAACGCCGCGUGAGUGAUGAAGGUCUUCGGAUUGUAAAGCUCUGUCUUUGGGGACGAUAAUGACGGUACCCAAGGAGGAAGCCACGGCUAACUACGUGCCAGCAGCCGCGGUAAUACGUAGGUGGCAAGCGUUGUCCGGAUUUACUGGGCGUAAAGAGUAUGUAGGCGGAUAUUUAAGUCAGAUGUGAAAUUCCCGGGCUUAACCUGGGCGCUGCAUUUGAAACUGGGUAUCUAGAGUGCGGGAGAGGAAAGUGGAAUUCCUAGUGUAGCGGUGAAAUGCGUAGAGAUUAGGAAGAACACCGGUGGCGAAGGCGGCUCUCUGGACCGAUACUGACGCUGAGACGCGAAAGCGUGGGUAGCAAA
Molecule: ribosomal RNA, 385 nt
Filed under: uncultured bacterium
Lineage: Bacteria
Description: bacterial SSU rRNA
Rfam family: Bacterial small subunit ribosomal RNA
Source: RNAcentral